AACGAACGCUGGCGGCGUGGAUAAGACAUGCAAGUCGAACGCUGAUUGCGGGGUAGCAAUAUUCCGCGGUUGGAGUGGCGUAAGGGUGAGUAACACGUGGGUAAUCUGCCGCGAAGCCUGGAAUAACUCCGAGAAAUCGGAGCUAAUACCGGAUGUGAUCGUACGGGAGCAUUCCCGGACGGUCAAAAUUGGGGACCGCAAGGCCCAACGCUUCGUGAUGAGCCUGCGGCCUAUCAGCUAGUUGGCGGGGUAAAAGCCCACCAAGGCGAAGACGGGUAGCUGGUCUGAGAGGACGACCAGCCACACUGGAACUGAGACACGGUCCAGACACCUACGGGUGGCAGCAGUCGAGAAUUUUUUACAAUGGGCGCAAGCCUGAUGGAGCGACGCCGCGUGGGGGAUGAAUGGCUUCGGCCCGUAAACCCCUGUCAUUCGCGUGCAAUGCCUUUCCGCAAAUAGCGGGAAGGUUGAUCGUAGCGAAAGAGGAAGGGACGGCUAACUCUGUGCCAGCAGCCGCGGUAAUACAGAGGUCCCGAGCGUUGUUCG
This 546-nucleotide ribosomal RNA is filed under the name uncultured bacterium. Its description in RNAcentral is "bacterial SSU rRNA". It matches the Rfam family "Bacterial small subunit ribosomal RNA", at positions 28 to 547 of the family's 1533-position model. The record is from RNAcentral.